GCGACCGUGGUGGAACGGUAGACACGCUACCUUGAGGUGGUAGUGCCUUACGGGUGUGGGAGUUCAAAUCUCCCCGGUCGCACCA
Molecule: transfer RNA, 85 nt
Filed under: Helicobacteraceae bacterium CG1_02_36_14
Lineage: Bacteria; Pseudomonadati; Campylobacterota; Epsilonproteobacteria; Campylobacterales; Helicobacteraceae
Also listed under: 18 other names
Description: tRNA-Leu
Rfam family: tRNA
About the family: Transfer RNA (tRNA) molecules are approximately 80 nucleotides in length.
Source: RNAcentral